AAUGAAUGAUGACAAAAUGUUUCGGUCCCAAAUGAUAUUGAUAUACACUGAUUAUACCGUUACAUUAUUUCUGACAUU
This is a small nucleolar RNA of Oryctolagus cuniculus (rabbit), 78 nucleotides long. Its record names the gene SNORD73. It matches the Rfam family "Small nucleolar RNA SNORD73". Rfam says of the family: U73 is a member of the C/D class of snoRNA which contain the C (UGAUGA) and D (CUGA) box motifs. U73 is encoded within the introns of ribosomal protein S3a and contains a 12nt region of complementarity to a conserved sequence in 28S ribosomal RNA. Lineage: Eukaryota; Metazoa; Chordata; Mammalia; Lagomorpha; Leporidae. The record is from Ensembl.